This is a long non-coding RNA of Esox lucius (northern pike), 1772 nucleotides long. The record is from Ensembl. NCBI's taxonomy places the organism in Eukaryota, Metazoa, Chordata, Actinopteri, Esociformes, Esocidae.
CUGGACGAAAGCCAGAGUGAGCUUGUAAUAAACAAAUAUCUUGUGGAGAGACAAUACGUGAGCAUGCGACGCAUGCUUUUUAGACCUGGGCUAACUAACCAAGCUGAAUGAUAUGUUACUCACGUGAUCUCUAGGAUACGAGCUCCUGCUUCAGUAAUAUAUAUGCAAACAUGUAAAUGCUAGUGGUUGAACGAGAUCAGGAAAUGGAAAACAGUUAGGGUUCAUACGAUAAAAAUUGUGAAUAAAGGUACUUGGUGGAGUUUAGGACUUGGUUACGCAGGCUGCAUUUAAUUUAAAUGUUAACAUGUGGAUAAUCUACAGAAUGACGUGAUAUUAAAAAUAUAUAGGCAUGAUUAAUCCACUAGUGAUUAAGACGAGCUCGGUUAAUUAAUUAAGCGAGCAUCAACAACAAUAAACGUUUAAUAUUAUGACAGCAGCUUGGGUGUGAGAGGCGAGAUGGAUAAAGACACAUUGAAGGAGAAAGAGAGAGAUGGAGAAAAUGUGAAGGAGAGAGAAGAGCGGAGGAGAACAACAGGAAAACGGAGAGAAAGAAAGGGAUGGAGGGUGAACGAGUGGAUUAGAGAGUUGGCAUUUCCCAGUCAAUCUGACCAAAAUAAUCCCUGCUAAUCCUAACCUCAGGGCAUUGAGAACUGGAGGAGCUGAUUCGCGCCCAGAAGACCGUGAGGAAUUCAGCCACGAUAGUUAAAUCCCUGGAAAAAACUGUCGUCCAUCUACCAGGGGAUUGAACAGUCAACCCCUGGAGCCUCAGCAGGCAGCACUGCUCUCCAGUGGAGCCCAAACCUCUCCUGGGGCCAGCGCCCUCACAGUUUCGUUUUUGCCCUGAACUAGCUCACCUGAUUCAACAGGUGAGUGUUUGUUAAUUAGUUAAUACGUUGAUUCAGGUGUGCUAGCUCUGGGAUAAAUCUAAUGGAUGGAAUGGCUGGGGGGGCCCCAGGAGAGGUUUGGGAACCACUGCAAGUCUUGCCCACAGCAGUAGCUCUCAGCUGGGUGCACGCUACAACUAAAAUUUGGGCCGGGAGGGGUUUUAAAUGGGUCACAGCCUGGACUGGCAGUUGUGUGAGAAACAACACAUGCUUUUACCAGGGAGAAACUGAGCUGAAAGGUUCACCCCCAGUGUUUGUGUCUGUUGACGAAAUCGACCUGGAACAGUUCUUCAUCUGCCGUGACAUUAAGACAUUAUGGAGGGUAGAAUAACUCCGUAAAAAGGUAAUAAAAGCAAAUGUUGAUGUAGUGACACCAGUCUAAAACACUCACCGUCACAGCGUACGUGUACCGGAUAGAAUCUGACAAAAGAGACGUCCUGGUUUCAUUUAUGUCUUGAAAACCAGUGACAUGAGUGGUUACAUCCCUGGACACAGGAAGACAUUAAAUUAAGGGUUUAUUUUAUGUCUUCCUGUGUUACUUAUCAUGCACUAUUGUCUUCCAAUUUAUCUAUUGAGUAGCGAUGUUUCUGUAUCUAAAAUCUGACAAGACUCACUAUCGCUCACGUCUUUCAUGCUUGUGUCUGAGAUGUGUUCAGGUCUGUACAGUACUGUCUCACUCAACCUGUUAAGCUUGUUCAGUUCUGUACAGUACUGACACAUUAGAUGUUUUAAGAGUGUUCAGUUCUGUAAAGUACUGGCUCAUUAGAUGUGUUUAGAGUGUUCAGUUCUGUACAGUACUGACACAUUAGAUGUUUUAAGAGUGUUCAGGUCUGUACAGUACUGUCUCACUCAACCUGUUAAGCUUGUUCAGUUCUGUGAAGUACUGGC